Long non-coding RNA from Scylla paramamosain (green mud crab), 1839 nucleotides. RefSeq lists it as uncharacterized. The transcript has 2 exons. NCBI's taxonomy places the organism in Eukaryota, Metazoa, Arthropoda, Malacostraca, Decapoda, Portunidae. The record is from RefSeq and is a predicted model, not a curated record.
UUAUGUUAUAAGUGUUCGAAGCCUAUAUUGUUAUGUUAUAAGUGUUCGAAGCCUAUAUUGUUAUGUUAUAAGUGUUCGAAGCCUAUAUUGUUAUGUUAUAAGUGUUCGAAGCCUAUAUUGUUAUGUUAUAAGUGUUCGAAGCCUAUAUUCGAAAUCGAUCAGAAGUUUUCUUGGCUCACGUUGUGAAUAAUUUGAUUAGUGGACUCUGUGGACUUUUUUUGCGAUGGAAAUUAUCGAAAGCAACAAGGGAGGUCUCAAACUGUGUUACAGUGGAUACAUGUAUACCAAGCAGUGGUCAAGAGGUGAAACGGUGCGGUGGAGGUGUGUCAAGCGAACACUUUCAUGUAAAGGGGCAUUAACAACAUCUCUUCAAAAUGAAAACCCAACACUUUUAACAGAACACAAUCAUGAUGGUGACGAAAGUGCUAUUGAAGCAGCCAAGUGUAAGUCUAGAAUGAAAACAUUAGCAAAAACUACCAGAGAUAAACCUGGUCAAAUAUACGCCCAAAAUGCCUUAACCAUGAGAACCCAAGCGCAGGCUCAUUUCGUAUCACAAGAACAUUGUAAACGACUGAUUCGGCAUCACCAAAGCGCCAAUCAGCCUCGCGACCCUGCUUCAUUACAGGAACUUGUUAUCUCGGGAGAAUGGGCAUCAACAGGUGGACCAGAACCACAACCGUUCCUGAUUUAUGACAAUGGUCAAGACAGUAACAAUCGCAUUAUUGUUUUUGCAAGUGAACAGACCCUACGACAUUUAGCAAAAUCAGACAUCUGGAUGAUGGAUGGAAAUUUUGCCAUGGCCCCCUCUUAAGUUUACACAAUUGUAUGUAAUUCGUGUUCCUCUCGGAAACACUGCUGUCUCCGUUGUUUAUGCAUUCCUUCAACACAAGACUCAAAACACCUAUGAACAACUUUUUACGGCAGUUCUUGAGAAAUGUGCAGAGUACCACCUGUAUCCAGACCCUAGAACCGUUAUGCUUGACUUUGAACAAGCAACUCUACAGGCCAUCACGGCAAUACUGGGAUCGGAAGUUACUAUUCGCUGCUGCUUCUACCAUCUGACACAGUCAUCAUGGACAAAAAUACAAGAGUUAGGGCUGGCAACUGUGUACAAGGAAAAUGAGGAUAUAAAGUUGUUCUGUGCUAUGGUCGACAGUUUAGCUUUCCUUCCCCUAGAGGAUGUGUCUGCCGGCAUGAAUUACCUCAAACACAACACACCAGAGGGCAUGGAGCCUUUCGUCACUUACUUCGAUCAGACCUACGUAACGGGAACUUAUCGACGAGUCCAAAGACAGCAAGAUGACAAUGAGAUCCCAAGAGUUCAGCUCCGCCUCAUUCCUCCACAGGUUUCCUCCAGAAAUCUGGAAUGUGCAUGAAGCAACUAUUCGAGACGAGUCUCGCACGAACAACUUAUGUGAGGGAUGGAACAAUCGAUACAGCAGGUUGGUUGGUCACAGUCACCCAACAAUAUGGCGGGCAAUCCAGUGGAUCCAAGCUGACCAUGCUGUUGUAGCUACCCAGUUGGUGCUAGAAUCUCGUGGCGAGCCUCCCAAGAAACGGCAGAAGAGGGUGUACAAGAAUCUACAAACACGAAUGAAGAACCUCUGCCAAGAUCGCCGUGAUGGUCGCAAAUCAGUUGAGGAGUUUUUACAUGGAGCGGGUCACAACAUUCGAUGGAAGUCCUAAGCAUUAUAAGAAAAGUCAGUAAAAUGUAUAGAAAUAAAGUGUGAACAAAUUUUAGCUGAUUGUACUGUCUGAUUGUAUCGUUUUUAGCUUGAGUUUUUUUUAGCACAUUUUGUACUGUGCCAUUUUUUCCUAGACUAAACAAUGUGCCAUUUU